This 279-nucleotide unclassified non-coding RNA is filed under the name plant metagenome. RNAcentral describes it as "partial contains small subunit ribosomal RNA, internal transcribed spacer 1, and 5.8S ribosomal RNA". The record is from RNAcentral.
UUUCCGUAGGUGAACCAGCGGAAGGAUCAUUAUCGUGUAUCCAAGUCGCAAGCGCUGUCGCUCAUCCGAAUGGUCGUCCAGGCCCGACUGCCCUCACCCAGAACCAUCUGACCCCUAUCUGCAGCACCCCUAGAGUCUCUCUCUAACUUGUACGUUCGGAGGCUUACGUUAUCACACAAACUACUUUUACAGUGGAGUAUGUAUUUUUUGUUUUUGCUAUAACGCAAACAAUACCACUUUAAACAACGGAUCUCUUCGCUCUCCAAUCGGAGAAGAACG